Molecule: long non-coding RNA, 1069 nt
Organism: Asparagus officinalis (garden asparagus)
Lineage: Eukaryota; Viridiplantae; Streptophyta; Magnoliopsida; Asparagales; Asparagaceae
Exons: 2
Source: RefSeq, a predicted model, not a curated record
AUUUGAUUUGGGGUUCAUAGUUUUCUCUUCGACAAAUCAACAAGCAUCUUCCUAAAAAUUUUCCUCUUUUCUUUUUUUUAUCUUGUUCUGUUAGAGUAGAUAGUCUGAAAUUUGAGAUUUGGGUAAAUUAAGGCUUUCUGUAGUUGCUUUGCAUAUUGAUUUUCUAGGAAACUUCAAGGAUAUGACAUGAUUUUGUGAUUCAUCUCUCUCCUUAGUUUUAUGAUUAUGUUUACAAAUGCUCUGCACUAGCUAGUUUCCGAUCCCGAUGAUUACACGUUCAACAUAUAUGAAAAUUCCAUCCACUGUGUCAAAUUUCAUAGUCAUUGAUAUUUUCAUUAGUUGCAACUGUUCCUUUUCUUAUCCUUUGUUUUUCAGCAAAUCCUUAAACAAUACCUUAAGGCUGCGUUUGGGAACUUAGAUUUGGGCCCUGGAUUUAAAAUCCUGGGUAUUUCAAAUCCAAAUCAUUUGUUUGGGCCUCAAAUUGGACUGAGAUUUUAAAUCAAAUGAUUUUAAAGAGGUGAUUUUGAAAGCCCAAAUACACGUAUUUGAAAUCCCACCCUCACCCUUCGUAUUUACCAAAUCCAAAUCCGGACCCGACGACUCCCCCGAUCCCGACUCCUCCUCCCUCUCGUUUCUCAGCGGCGAUCCCUCUCGUUUCUCAGCGGCGAUCUCGAAUCUCCAGGACUCAAAUUCUUCGAGACAUGAAGUUGGGCGCAUUGGAGAGAAAAGAGGAGAAGACUUGAAGGAUAAAUAGAGGAUUCUAGAUAUGUUUUCUUUUAAUAGUUUAUGUUGUCGUAAUUUGGCUUGUUGUAGCAAAUCAUGGUUACUUCUUAUAGCAAAUCAUGGUUAUCAACUACCUAUGGUAUGUUGUGUUUUAAAUGAAGGAUUAUUGUGGAGUGUAGAGCUUCUUAUGAGGAGUGUUUGCUAAACUCUUUUGACUCGUCGAGUCUUUUAUCAUGGCUAGUUAUUGGAGUAGUACUCUUGUUCUUUGGAGAUUGAAGGUUGAUGUAGUAUUGGAUGAAGCCAUGAAAAAAUGGCGUAAUAAUAAAUAUUUUGGACAUUAUUAUUA